Molecule: long non-coding RNA, 291 nt
Organism: Brienomyrus brachyistius
Lineage: Eukaryota; Metazoa; Chordata; Actinopteri; Osteoglossiformes; Mormyridae
Exons: 3
Source: RefSeq, a predicted model, not a curated record
GCAUCAUUUCCCCGGUACCCCCCAGCUGAGAUUUAACGGUGGGAAGGAAUCCUCUCUGCCGCCCCCCAGUGUACAGCCUGCAGAACGGGCCAGUGGAUGAUCUAAACGAUGAACCUUAUUCUAUCAAGAUAUCUUAUCUUUCAGCACGAAAGACACUGUCAAUAUUCCAGCUACAUUUUACCCAACCUCAAGGGAGCUUAGAGGAGGACGGCCGUGAGUUUCCGCUACCUGAGACCUGGAUGAUCACGGCACGUGACACCGAUGCGACGUGUCCUGGUACAAGUGAAAGGU